RNAcentral lists this ribosomal RNA (500 nucleotides) under uncultured bacterium. Its description in RNAcentral is "partial 16S ribosomal RNA". It matches the Rfam family "Bacterial small subunit ribosomal RNA", at positions 899 to 1397 of the family's 1533-position model. The record is from RNAcentral.
ACUCAAAUGAAUUGACGGGGGCCCGCACAAGCGGUGGAUCAUGUGGUUUAAUUCGAAGCAACGCGAAGAACCUUACCUGGGUUUGACAUCCUUGGAAUGCUGUAGAGAUACAGCAGUUCGUAGCAAUACGACCGAGAGACAGGUGCUGCAUGGCUGUCGUCAGCUCGUGUGGUGACAUGUUGGGUUAAGUCCCGCAACGAGCGCAACCCCUGUCCUUAGUUGCCAGCAUUAAGUUGGGCACUCUAGGGAGACUGCCGUGGUUAACACGGAGGAAGGUGGGGAUGACGUCAAGUCCUCAUGGCCUUUAUAUCCAGGGCGACACACGUGAUACAAUGGAUGCUACAGAGGGAUGCGAAAUGGUGACAUGGAGCUAAUCUCAAAAAGGCAUUCUCAGUUCGGAUUGGAGUCUGCAACUCGACUCCAUGAAGUUGGAAUCGCUAGUAAUCGCGGAUCAGCACGCCGCGGUGAAUACGUUCCCGGGCCUUGUACACACCGCCCGU